AGGGAUGCGAGCCGGUGACGGCAAGNGAACCCCAAAAACACCGUCCCAGUUCGGACUGUAGUCUGCAACCCGACUACACGAAGCCGGAAUCGCUAGUAAUCGCGGAUCAGAAUGCCGCGGUGAAUACGUUCCCGGGUCUUGUACACACCGCCCGUCACACCAUGGGAGUCGGAAAUGCCCGAAGUCAGUGACCCAACCGGAAGGAAGGAGCUGCCGAAGGUGGAGCCGGUAACUGGGGUGAAGUCGUAACAAGGUAGC
This 258-nucleotide ribosomal RNA is filed under the name uncultured bacterium. RNAcentral's name for it is "partial 16S ribosomal RNA". It matches the Rfam family "Bacterial small subunit ribosomal RNA", at positions 1243 to 1500 of the family's 1533-position model. The record is from RNAcentral.